RNAcentral lists this transfer RNA (17 nucleotides) under Stellera chamaejasme. RNAcentral describes it as "partial transfer RNA-Phe". Lineage: Eukaryota; Viridiplantae; Streptophyta; Magnoliopsida; Malvales; Thymelaeaceae. The record is from RNAcentral.
CGGGAAGCUCAGUGGAG